GAGUACAGUGGCGCACGGGUGAGUAACGCGUAGAUAAUCUACCCCUUAGUCUGGGACAACCUUCCGAAAGGAGGGCUAAUACCGGAUAAUACCAGAGGCUUGGUGGUCUUUGGUUAAAAGAUUUAUUGCUAGGGGAUGAGUCUGCGUAGCAUUAGCUUGUUGGUGAGGUAACGGCUCACCAAGGCUACGAUGCUUAGCGGGUCUGAGAGGAUGAUCCGCCACACUGGAACUGAGACACGGUCCAGACUCC
Molecule: ribosomal RNA, 250 nt
Filed under: uncultured bacterium
Lineage: Bacteria
Description: partial 16S ribosomal RNA
Rfam family: Bacterial small subunit ribosomal RNA
Source: RNAcentral